RNAcentral lists this ribosomal RNA (445 nucleotides) under Ammonia sp. genotype T6. RNAcentral's name for it is "partial small subunit ribosomal RNA". It matches the Rfam family "Eukaryotic small subunit ribosomal RNA", at positions 1386 to 1624 of the family's 1831-position model. The record is from RNAcentral. Lineage: Eukaryota; Foraminifera; Rotaliida; Rotaliidae.
UUAGCAAGAUUCGUCUUGCAUUAAACUAUAGAGACCGCUGUUUCUUCUUUAAACCAGAGGAAGGAUACGGCAAUAACAGGUCUGUGAUGCCCUCAGAUGUUCCGGGCUGCACACGUGCUACAAUGAUCAUUGCACUGUGCAUCUAACCCAAUGUGCGCGGACGCCGCCGUGCGUAUAUACUUUAUUGUGUAUGCGUAUCGUGCGUGCGACCGCGCCGAACCUGCUUCGAAAGUAAACAUUUCCAGCGGGUAAUCCAUUAGAAGUAAUGACUCGCAUAGACCAUGGCACACUAUAUGUACCCGCGGGUUCUACCCGGCUCGCCUUUGUGUGAGUGCAGUGCGUAGCUCGUUGUUUGGUACGUGCCACUCCGUAUUAAUUCAUACGUGGGGAUAGAUCAUUGUUUAAUUGUUGGUCUCGGUCUUAACUAGGAAUGCCUUGUACGGGU